This 739-nucleotide ribosomal RNA is filed under the name Bacillus pumilus. RNAcentral describes it as "bacterial SSU rRNA". It matches the Rfam family "Bacterial small subunit ribosomal RNA", at positions 39 to 764 of the family's 1533-position model. Lineage: Bacteria; Bacillati; Bacillota; Bacilli; Caryophanales; Bacillaceae. The record is from RNAcentral.
UUAGCGGGUCAAAUUCAUGCGAGUCGAGCGGACAGAAGGGAGCUUGCUCCCGGAUGUUAGCGGCGGACGGGUGAGUAACACGUGGGUAACCUGCCUGUAAGACUGGGAUAACUCCGGGAAACCGGAGCUAAUACCGGAUAGUUCCUUGAACCGCAUGGUUCAAGGAUGAAAGACGGUUUCGGCUGUCACUUACAGAUGGACCCGCGGCGCAUUAGCUAGUUGGUGGGGUAAUGGCUCACCAAGGCGACGAUGCGUAGCCGACCUGAGAGGGUGAUCGGCCACACUGGGACUGAGACACGGCCCAGACUCCUACGGGAGGCAGCAGUAGGGAAUCUUCCGCAAUGGACGAAAGUCUGACGGAGCAACGCCGCGUGAGUGAUGAAGGUUUUCGGAUCGUAAAGCUCUGUUGUUAGGGAAGAACAAGUGCGAGAGUAACUGCUCGCACCUUGACGGUACCUAACCAGAAAGCCACGGCUAACUACGUGCCAGCAGCCGCGGUAAUACGUAGGUGGCAAGCGUUGUCCGGAAUUAUUGGGCGUAAAGGGCUCGCAGGCGGUUUCUUAAGUCUGAUGUGAAAGCCCCCGGCUCAACCGGGGAGGGUCAUUGGAAACUGGGAAACUUGAGUGCAGAAGAGGAGAGUGGAAUUCCACGUGUAGCGGUGAAAUGCGUAGAGAUGUGGAGGAACACCAGUGGCGAAGGCGACUCUUUAUGGGUCUUUUAAAUUGGACCCCCCCCACGU